GAUAAAGAUAAGGAUAAAGAAGACAAAAAAGAUAAGGAUAAAGAUUAAGAUAAGGAUAAAGAUAAGGAAGAUAAAGAUAAGGAAGAUAAAGAUAAGGAUAAAGAUAAGGAUAAAGAUAAGGAUAAAGAUAAGGAUAAAGAUAAGGAUAAAGAUUAAAAGAUAAAGAUAAAGAUAAGGAAGAUAAGAUAAGAUAAGGGUAAAGAUAAAGAUAAGGAUAAAGAUAAGAUAAAGAUAAAGAUAAGGAAGAUAAAUAUAAGGAAGAUAAAGAUAAGGAAGAUAAAGAUAAGGAUAAAGAUUAAGAUAAGGAUAAAGAUAAGGAAG
Molecule: non-coding RNA, 321 nt
Organism: Paramuricea clavata
Lineage: Eukaryota; Metazoa; Cnidaria; Anthozoa; Malacalcyonacea; Plexauridae
Source: the annotation of a GenBank genome assembly